Molecule: ribosomal RNA, 500 nt
Filed under: uncultured Glomeromycotina
Lineage: Eukaryota; Fungi; Glomeromycota
Description: partial small subunit ribosomal RNA
Rfam family: Eukaryotic small subunit ribosomal RNA
Source: RNAcentral
CCAAUAGCGUAUAUUAAAGUUGUUGCAGUUAAAAAGCUCGUAGUUGAAUUUCGGGGUCAGUAGGUUGGUCAUGCCACUGGUAUGUACUGGUCUCACUGAUUCCUCCUUCCUGAUGAGCUGUAAUGCCAUUACUUUGGUGUUGCAGGGAAUCUGGACUGUUACUUUGAAAAAGUUAGCGUGUUUAAAGCAGGCUAACGCCUGAAUCCAUUAGCAUGGAAUAAUGAAAUAGGACGUUCGAUCCUAUUUUGUUGGUUUCUAGGAUUGACGUAAUGAUUAAUAGGGAUAGUUGGAGGCAUUAGUAUUCAAUUGUCAGAGGUGAAAUUCUUGGAUUUAUUGAAGACUAACUACUGCGAAAGCAUUUGCCAAGGAUGUUUUCAUUAAUCAAGAACGAAAGUUAGGGGAUCGAAGACGAUCAGAUACCGUCGUAGUCUUAACCAUAAACUAUGCCGACUAGGGAUCGGAUGAUGUUAAUUUUUUAAUGACUCAUUCGGCGCCUUACG